RNAcentral lists this ribosomal RNA (687 nucleotides) under uncultured bacterium. RNAcentral describes it as "bacterial SSU rRNA". It matches the Rfam family "Bacterial small subunit ribosomal RNA", at positions 70 to 771 of the family's 1533-position model. The record is from RNAcentral.
GUUUGGAAGCUUGCUUUCCGAAACCUAGUGGCGGACGGGUGAGUAACGCGUGAGUAACCUGCCUUUCAGAGGGGAAUAACGUUCUGAAAAGAACGCUAAUACCGCAUAACGUACAGUUACCGCAUGGUAGCAGUACCAAAGGGGCAAUCCGCUGAAAGAUGGACUCGCGUCCGAUUAGCUAGUUGGUGGGGUAAAGGCCUACCAAGGCGACGAUCGGUAGCCGGACUGAGAGGUUGAACGGCCACAUUGGGACUGAGACACGGCCCAGACUCCUACGGGAGGCAGCAGUGGGGGAUAUUGCACAAUGGGGGAAACCCUGAUGCAGCAACGCCGCGUGUGGGAAGAAGGUUUUCGGAUUGUAAACCACUGUUCUUGGUGAAGAUAAUGACGGUAACCAAGGAGAAAGCUCCGGCUAACUACGUGCCAGCAGCCGCGGUAAUACGUAGGGAGCAAGCGUUGUCCGGAUUUACUGGGUGUAAAGGGUGCGUAGGCGGCUAGGCAAGUCAGACGUGAAAACCAUGGGCUCAACCUGUGGACUGCGUUUGAAACUGUUUAGCUUGAGUGAAGUAGAGGUAGGCGGAAUUCCCGGUGUAGCGGUGAAAUGCGUAGAGAUCGGGAGGAACACCAGUGGCGAAGGCGGCCUACUGGGCUUUAACUGACGCUGAGGCACGAAAGCAUGGGUAGCAA